CAGCCGCCGCGGUAAUACGAGGGGGGCAAGCGUUGUUCGGAAUUAUUGGGCGUAAAGGGUGCGUAGGCGGCUUGACAAGUCUUGUGUGAAAUCUAUGGGCUCAACCCAUAGUCUGCACGGGAAACUGUCGGGCUUGAGAAUGGGAGAGGUGAGUGGAAUUUCCGGUGUAGCGGUGAAAUGCGAAGAUAUCGGAAGGAACACCUGUGGCGAAAGCGGCUCACUGGACCAUUUCUGACGCUGAUGCACGAAAGCUAGGGGAGCAAACAGGAUUAGAUACCCCCGUAGUCCCUGUCUCUUAUAC
Molecule: ribosomal RNA, 301 nt
Filed under: uncultured bacterium
Lineage: Bacteria
Description: partial 16S ribosomal RNA
Rfam family: Bacterial small subunit ribosomal RNA
Source: RNAcentral